RNAcentral lists this unclassified non-coding RNA (111 nucleotides) under uncultured Rhizophagus. RNAcentral describes it as "sequence contains ITS1". Lineage: Eukaryota; Fungi; Glomeromycota; Glomeromycetes; Glomerales; Glomeraceae. The record is from RNAcentral.
CCAAUUUUAGCGAACCUAACCUCUUGGGUUAUGGUCUCGCGAAAUUCUUGUAUUUAAAACCCCACUCUUUAUAAAAAUGUGAAUCCUAUUAUAUAUAAUAAUAAAUAAAGA